GUGUUAUCCGGAAUUAUUGGGCGUAAAGCGUCUGUAGGUUGCCUAACAAGUCUGUUGUUAAAGGUUAAAGCUUAACUUUAAAACUGCAGCAGAAACUGCUAGGCUUGAGUACAGUUGAAGUAGAGGGAAUUUCCAGUGAAGCGGUGAAAUGCGUAGAUAUUGGAAGGAACACCAAUGGCGAAAGCACUCUACUAGACUUUUACUGACACUCAGAGACGAAAGCUAGGGUAGCAAAUGGGAUUAGAUACCCCAGUAGUCCUAGCCGUAAACGAUGGAUACUAAACAUUGCGUGCAUCGAUCCGCGUGGUGUUAUAGCAAACGCGUUAAGUAUCCCGCCUGGGGAGUAUGCUCGCAAGGGUGAAACUCAAAGGAAUUGACGGGGGCCCGCACAAGCGGUGGAGCAUGUGGUUUAAUUUGAUGCAACGCGAAGAACCUUACCAGGGUUUGACAUGGUGUUAAUUCUUUGAAAAAAGAAGUACCGUUCGCGGUAGACACACACAGGUGGUGCAUGGCUGUCGUCAGCUCGUGUCGUGGGAUGUUGGGUUAAGUCCCGCAACGGGCGCAACCCUUGUUUUUAGUUACAAGUAAUCUAAAAAGACUAUCGGUUAUAAACCGGAGGAAGGUGGGGACGACGUCAAGUCAGCAUGCCCCUUAUACCCUGGGCUACACACGUGCUACAUUGGGUAGGACAAUGAGACGCCAAACCGUGAGGUCGAGCUAAUCUACAAACCUACUCUAAGUUCGGAUUGGAGGCUGCAACUCGCC
This 765-nucleotide ribosomal RNA is filed under the name uncultured marine pelagophyte. Its description in RNAcentral is "bacterial SSU rRNA". It matches the Rfam family "Bacterial small subunit ribosomal RNA", at positions 538 to 1316 of the family's 1533-position model. The record is from RNAcentral. Lineage: Eukaryota; Pelagophyceae.